Molecule: long non-coding RNA, 362 nt
Organism: Dreissena polymorpha
Lineage: Eukaryota; Metazoa; Mollusca; Bivalvia; Myida; Dreissenidae
Exons: 2
Source: RefSeq, a predicted model, not a curated record
CUGAAAUCACGGAAGCGUAUAAGUGUUACAGUCGGUGUUUUUACUGCUAUUGUCAAGUUUUAUGGGGGUUAUUAUCAGAUUAACGGUUCUUUUAAGAUAAAGAACACUCAAUUAUGUAACACUUAGGACAAACUGGCACAAAGAUCAAUGAUUAUAACGAUAUAUAAGGCGGCUACUCUUUAAUCAAUACCAUGAACACCAGACUGCUGCUGAGGCGAUGCAGCUUCGGAAGGAUAUGGCGGCUGCCAGCAAAUCAUCAAUCUCCAUUGAUGUUAACAUUAUUAGAUAAGUUUGGUUAUAUGUGAUUGUUUAUCAUGUGCAAACCAAUGUUUUUAUGUAUAAAUAAAGCUUAUUAAGACUUA